This 253-nucleotide ribosomal RNA is filed under the name uncultured bacterium. Its description in RNAcentral is "partial 16S ribosomal RNA". It matches the Rfam family "Bacterial small subunit ribosomal RNA", at positions 524 to 776 of the family's 1533-position model. The record is from RNAcentral.
UACGGAGGACUCGAGCGUUAUCCGGAUUUAUUGGGUUUAAAGGGUGCGUAGGUUGUUGUGUAAGUUAGAGGUGAAAUCCCGUGGCUCAACCACGGAACUGCCUCUGAUACUGCAUAACUAGAGAUUGGUUGCAGCUGGCGGAAUGUGUGGUGUAGCGGUGAAAUGCUUAGAUAUCACACAGAACACCGAUUGCGAAGGCAGCUGGCUAAGCCACAUCUGACACUGAGGCACGAAAGCGUGGGGAUCAAACAGG